AACGCACAUUGCGCCCUUCGGUAUUCCGUUGGGCAUGCCUGUUCGAGCGUCAUUUAACCCUUCAAGCUCUGCUUGGUGUUGGGCGUUUGUUCCGCCUCUGCGCGUGGACUCGCCUCAAAUUCAUUGGCAGCCGGUAAGUUGGCUUCGUGCGCAGCACAUUGCGUUGUGAUUCCAGCUUGCCUCCUCCCAGGAAGCUCUUUUAUUACUUUGACCUCGGAUCAGGUAGGGAUACCCGCUGAACUUAA
RNAcentral lists this unclassified non-coding RNA (245 nucleotides) under uncultured fungus. RNAcentral's name for it is "partial contains 5.8S ribosomal RNA, internal transcribed spacer 2, and large subunit ribosomal RNA". Lineage: Eukaryota; Fungi. The record is from RNAcentral.